CUUCUUGAAAAAAUAGGAAGUCGUGCCUGCCCACUGAAAGUUUUGAAGGGCCGCGGUAUUCUGACCGUGCAAAGGUAGCAUAAUCAUUAGUCUUUUAAUUGUGGACUGGAAUGAAUGGUUUGACGAGACAAGAACUGUCUUUUUUAUAAAAUUUGAAUUUUACUUUUAAGUUAAAAGGCUUAAAUAGAAAAUAGGGACGAGAAGACCCUAUAGAUCUUUAUUGUUUAAUGAAAAUUUAAAAUGAUUAGAUGUUGGAUUAUUUUGAGUUAAAGAAUUUUGUUGGGGUGACAUAAGAAGAGGAAAACUUCUUGUUAUUUGGACUUUGAUUGAUGGUUCGGUGAUCCUAAAAUUGGGAUAAAAGAUUAAGAUACCUUAGGGAUAACAGCGUUAUCUUAUUUGAGAGUUCCUAUCGACAAUAAGGAUUGCGACCUCGAUGUUGGAUUAAGAUUAUAGUUUGGUGUAGUAGUUAAAGUAUUUGGUCUGUUC
This 486-nucleotide ribosomal RNA is filed under the name Phaloriinae sp. 2 PNG. Its description in RNAcentral is "partial 16S ribosomal RNA". It matches the Rfam family "Bacterial large subunit ribosomal RNA", at positions 1819 to 2582 of the family's 2925-position model. Lineage: Eukaryota; Metazoa; Arthropoda; Insecta; Orthoptera; Phalangopsidae. The record is from RNAcentral.